This 463-nucleotide ribosomal RNA is filed under the name Caballeronia glathei. Its description in RNAcentral is "bacterial SSU rRNA". It matches the Rfam family "Bacterial small subunit ribosomal RNA", at positions 29 to 486 of the family's 1533-position model. The record is from RNAcentral. Lineage: Bacteria; Pseudomonadati; Pseudomonadota; Betaproteobacteria; Burkholderiales; Burkholderiaceae.
AUUGAACGCUGGCGGCAUGCCUUACACAUGCAAGUCGAACGGCAGCACGGGGGCAACCCUGGUGGCGAGUGGCGAACGGGUGAGUAAUACAUCGGAACGUGUCCUGUAGUGGGGGAUAGCCCGGCGAAAGCCGGAUUAAUACCGCAUACGAUCUACGGAAGAAAGCGGGGGAUCUUCGGACCUCGCGCUAUAGGGGCGGCCGAUGGCAGAUUAGCUAGUUGGUGGGGUAAAGGCCUACCAAGGCGACGAUCUGUAGCUGGUCUGAGAGGACGACCAGCCACACUGGGACUGAGACACGGCCCAGACUCCUACGGGAGGCAGCAGUGGGGAAUUUUGGACAAUGGGGGAAACCCUGAUCCAGCAAUGCCGCGUGUGUGAAGAAGGCCUUCGGGUUGUAAAGCACUUUUGUCCGGAAAGAAAACUUCGGGGCUAAUACCUCUGGAGGAUGACGGUACCGGAAGAA